Molecule: ribosomal RNA, 253 nt
Filed under: uncultured bacterium
Lineage: Bacteria
Description: partial 16S ribosomal RNA
Rfam family: Bacterial small subunit ribosomal RNA
Source: RNAcentral
GACGUAGGAGGCGAGCGUUAUCCGGAUUUACUGGGUGUAAAGCGCGUGCAGGCGGUCUGUCAAGUGGUGCGUGAAAGCGCCCGGCUCAACCGGGCGAGGACGUGCUAAACUGGGAGACUGGAGUAAGGUAGAGGCGUGUGGAAUUCCGGGUGUAGUGGUGAAAUGCGUAGAGAUCCGGAGGAACACCAGAGGCGAAGGCGACACGCUGGACCUUAACUGACGCUCAGACGCGAAAGCAUGGGGAGCGAACGGG